This 86-nucleotide small RNA is filed under the name Enterococcus casseliflavus. RNAcentral describes it as "RNA anti-toxin A". It matches the Rfam family "RNA anti-toxin A". The record is from RNAcentral. Lineage: Bacteria; Bacillati; Bacillota; Bacilli; Lactobacillales; Enterococcaceae.
UAAUAAGUAUGUAAAGAGGAGUUGCGACAACAACUCCCCUUGUGACAGCACCGUUUAAAGAACGGUGACGAUUGUACUAUUUAAUA